UCGUAACAAGGUUUCCGUAGGUGAACCUGCGGAAGGAUCAUUGUCGUGACCCUGACCAAAACAGACCGCGCACGCGUCAUCCAAUCCGUCGGUGACGGCAUCGUCCGUCGCUCGGCCAAUGCCUCGACCACCUCCCCUCCUCGGAGUGGGUGGGGGCUCGGGGUAAAAGAACCCACGGCGCCGAAGGCGUCAAGGAACACUGUGCCUAACCCGGGGGCAUGGCUAGCUUGCUAGCCAUCCCUCGUGUUGCAAAGCUAUUUAAUCCACACGACUCUCGGCAACGGAUAUCUCGGCUCUCGCAUCGAUGAAGAACGUAGCGAAAUGCGAUACCUGGUGUGAAUUGCAGAAUCCCGCGAACCAUCGAGUCUUUGAACGCAAGUUGCGCCCGAGGCCACUCGGCCGAGGGCACGCCUGCCUGGGCGUCACGCCAAAACACGCUCCCAACACCCCUCAUCGGGAAUCGGGAUGCGGCAUCUGGUCCCUCGUCUCGCAAGGGGCGGUGGACCGAAGAUCGGGCUGCCGGCGUACCGCGCCGGACACAGCGCAUGGUGGGCGUCCUCGCCUUAUCAACGCAGUGCAUCCGACGCGCAGCCGGCAUGAUGGCCUCAAAACGACCCAGCAAACGAAGCGCACGUCGCUUCGACCGCGACCCCAGGUCAGGCGGGACUACCCGCUGAGUUUAAGCAUAUCAAUAAGCGGAGGA
RNAcentral lists this ribosomal RNA (703 nucleotides) under Campeiostachys dahurica var. tangutorum. RNAcentral describes it as "eukaryotic LSU rRNA". The stretch from base 270 to 425 matches the Rfam family "5.8S ribosomal RNA". Lineage: Eukaryota; Viridiplantae; Streptophyta; Magnoliopsida; Poales; Poaceae. The record is from RNAcentral.